GAUGAACGCUAGCGGCAGGCUUAAUACAUGCAAGUCGUGGGGCAGCAUGAGUAGCAAUACUUGAUGGCGACCGGCAAACGGGUGAGGAACACGUACACAACCUUCCUUCAAGCGGGGAAUAGCCCAGAGAAAUUUGGAUUAAUACCCCAUAAUAUAUUUGAUAAGGCAUCUUAUUAAUAUUAAAAGCUUCGGCACUUGAUGAUGGGUGUGCGGCUGAUUGGAUAGUUGGCGGGUAACGGCCCACCAAGUCUACGAUCAGUAGCUGAUGUGAGAGCAUGAUCAGCCACACGGGCACUGAGACACGGGCCCGACUCCUACGGGAGGCGGCAGUAAGGAAUAUUGGACAAUGGACGAAAGUCUGAUCCAGCCAUGCCGCGUGAAGGAUUAAAGGUCCUCUGGAUUGUAAACUUCUUUUAUAUGGGACGAAAAAAGGGCAUUCUUGUUCACUUGACGGUACCAUAUGAAU
This 466-nucleotide ribosomal RNA is filed under the name uncultured bacterium. Its description in RNAcentral is "bacterial SSU rRNA". It matches the Rfam family "Bacterial small subunit ribosomal RNA", at positions 28 to 487 of the family's 1533-position model. The record is from RNAcentral.